AGCUAGAGUAUGACAGACAGAAUGGCCCGUCUAUCUGCUUUACAGAGACAUGGCUAGGGCUGGGACGGCCUGGCAGAGUAAGUCGAUGGACAGAGUGGCCUGAAACCCAGGGGUUAGUUGUGCUGCAGACACACUUGGGCUCAUUUGUUUGCCAGUGAAAUAGGCCAGUAAAUAAGAGGACUUUGUACAGAUGGCUGCCAGGGCAUCCCAUCUAUCUGGCAGGGAGAGAGAGAGGCCAGGUAGUGACAGGGCAUCCCAUCUAUCUGGCAGGGAGAGAGAGGCCAGGUGGUGACAGGGCAUCCCAUCUAUCUGGCAGGGAGAGAGAGAGGCCAGGUGGUGACAGGGCAUCCCAUCUAUCUGGCAGGGAGAGAGAGAGGCCAGGUGGUGACAGGGCAUCCCAUCUAUCUGGCAGGGAGAGAGAGGCCAGGUGGUGACAGGGCAUCCCAUCUAUCUGGCAGGGAGAGAGAGGCCAAGUGGUGACAGGGCAUCCCAUCUAUCUGGCAGGGAGAGAGAGGCCAAGUGGUGACAGGGCAUCCCAUCUAUCUGGCAGGGAGAGAGAGAGGCCAGGUGGUGACAGGGCAUGCAGGCCAGAGAACUGUAACUCACCUGACAAAUGAGUCUCAAUUCACUGCUCACACACACUCUAGGAAAAGGUAAAACACACUUAGAUAGCCUUCUCACACAGCCUGGUAAAUGAAAUGUGUACUUGUGUAAAUGUGCAUGCACACACAAAAGCACAGGCACACACACA
Oncorhynchus tshawytscha (Chinook salmon) is the source of this 751-nucleotide long non-coding RNA. The record is from Ensembl. Lineage: Eukaryota; Metazoa; Chordata; Actinopteri; Salmoniformes; Salmonidae.